This 73-nucleotide transfer RNA is filed under the name Lacicoccus qingdaonensis. Its description in RNAcentral is "Salinicoccus qingdaonensis tRNA_Asp_GTC". It matches the Rfam family "tRNA". From Rfam's summary of the family: Transfer RNA (tRNA) molecules are approximately 80 nucleotides in length. Their secondary structure includes four short double-helical elements and three loops (D, anti-codon, and T loops). The record is from RNAcentral. Lineage: Bacteria; Bacillati; Bacillota; Bacilli; Caryophanales; Salinicoccaceae.
GGUCCUGUGGUGUAGCGGUUAACAUGCCUGCCUGUCACGCAGGAGAUCGCGGGUUCAAUUCCCGUCAGGACCG